RNAcentral lists this ribosomal RNA (239 nucleotides) under uncultured Tulasnellaceae. RNAcentral's name for it is "partial large subunit ribosomal RNA". It matches the Rfam family "Eukaryotic large subunit ribosomal RNA", at positions 72 to 306 of the family's 3401-position model. The record is from RNAcentral. Lineage: Eukaryota; Fungi; Basidiomycota; Agaricomycetes; Cantharellales; Tulasnellaceae.
GGAUUCCCCUAGUAACGGCGAGUGAAGCGGGAAGAGCUCAAAUUUUAAAUCGGCGGUCUCCGGCCGUCCGAGUUGUAAAUUAUAGAAGCGUUAUCUGUGCCGGACCUGCCAUAAGUUGUCUUGAAUGAUAUAUCAGAGAGGGUGAGAAUCCCGUGCUUGUGCAGGAUCACCGGGGCUAUAUGUUGCGCUCUCAACGAGUCGAGUGUUUGUGAUUGCAGCUCCAAAUGGGAGGUAAAUUC